This 497-nucleotide ribosomal RNA is filed under the name uncultured bacterium. RNAcentral describes it as "partial 16S ribosomal RNA". It matches the Rfam family "Bacterial small subunit ribosomal RNA", at positions 28 to 507 of the family's 1533-position model. The record is from RNAcentral.
GAUGAACGCUGGCGGCGUGCCUAAUACAUGCAAGUCGAGCGAACAGACGAGGAGCUUGCUCCUCUGACGUUAGCGGCGGAAGGGUGAGUAACACGUGGAUAACCUACCUAUAAGACUGGGAUAACUUCGGGAAACCGGAGCUAAUACCGGAUAAUAUAUUGAACCGCAUGGUUCAAUAGUGAAAGACGGUUUUGCUGUCACUUAUAGAUGGAUCAGCGCCGCAUUAGCUAGUUGGCAAGGUAACGGCUUACCAAGGCGACGAUGCGUAGCCGACCUGAGAGGGGGAUCGGCCACACUGGAACUGAGACACGGUCCAGACUCCUACGGGAGGCAGCAGUAGGGAAUCGUCCGCAAUGGGCGAAAGCCUGACGGAGCACCGCCGCGUGAAUGAGGAAGGUCUUCGGAUCGUAAAACUCUGUUAUUAGGGAAGAACAAAUGUGUACGUAAAUAUGCACGUCUUGACGGUACCUUAUCAGAAAGCCACGGCUAACUACGUG